UACACUCGUCCUGCUUCUCACAAAAUAGGUCUGAAGUCUUAUAUACAGUCUAUGGUUGAGAUGCAGACUGCACACGUCUUUUAAUUAUACUUCUGCUAAUAAUAAUGUGAGUAUGAGUGUGACUUUAUUACUACUUAUAUGAUAACUACUAUAUACAUCCCUUCUUUAUUUCCUGUACUUAAAGUUUAUUGUCAGCUUUAUACAAGUUUUGUACAAUUAAAGGUAAUUUUUCAGCUUCUUUCUACGUUUCCUACAAAUGUGUUUUAUUUGUAUAUGUGCAGGACAAAUAUACGACCCUAACGCUUAGCCAGCAGGUGACCAGUUUUUAAAGUUGUGCUGACAUUCGGCUUAUUGACACAGACACGCACGCAAGCGUGCACACGCAAGUAAAUAAACAUUCUUUGGCAGCAUAAUACCGUCAUGUGUUUUCAAGUGUCACAUUUCCGAGUGUUCCUGAAUGUCUCAAAGACGUCAACUGUGUGUCUGUGUGAACCCACGGUAUUCUGUGUCAGACUCUGCUCAGGUAAGUCGAUGCACAGUCUCUGUUAAUGUCCAGACACUACAAAUGAGGAUUUAACGUUUCUACAUGACACUGGUUUGAGUUAUAUUCGAUUAAGAGGAUGUGAGAGGUCGAGAUAUUGACUUGAAAAUGCGUAAAGUACAUAUGAUACUGUUAAACUAUAUGACGCUAAAGCUAUUAGCGUCGAGCUAACGCUAAAGCUAACAACAUACUACUAAUAAGGCUGAGUCAUGUGCUUGCUGAAAUACACAAUAUUGACUCAAUAUGUGAGCUGGCGUCAUGUUAUACACCGUGCCAGCUAAUAUUUACUUUAUAAAGUUCAUCAAUGUGACGGGGUGUAUUGCUAUUGAAGAGCAUUUGUUAAUGGGAGACGAUUGUGUCUGUAGCGCCGUUGCUAAAGGUAACACACUGUUGAUUACUGUUACUCUGUCAUAUUAACAGCUGGGUAAUUGACACGGGGAUGUUAGCUGUUAAGCUCCUGAUUACUUUCUAUCAAUUUUGUAGAUGUUUUUGCUAAUAUAGGUUAUCUUUACCAAGCACCUAGUUGUAACACAUUUGAAAUUAUAUUUUUUUAUGUGUUAAAAUUAUACAACAUGCUCUUCUAUUUAUUGAGGGGGUUAUUCAUGAUGGUAAUGAUACAGAUAUUUACAAUGUCAAACAUCACAUUAUCUACAUAUGUGUUCUACAACCACAAGUUCAAAUGAAUAUUGAUUUAAUGGAUGGGUUGUAAGCUGCCUUGAAACUUGUGAACCACCUUCUCCUCUGUUUUUGCUUCAGUAGCUGAUGCUGAAAUUUAUCUACUACUGUACCAUACGUUUACUUUAUAUGAGUUUGAAAUACUUCAUAAAAGGUGUUCUGUGACAUUUUAAGCUGCAGCUAACAGUGAGGUGAUGUUUUAGAGCUGUUUCAUUUUCUAUUACUAUUAUGACUGUAAUAAUGUUGCUUUUCUCAUAGGCCUGCUGUUUUAAUGAACUAUGUAUCUGACAGAUAGCACUAAUGUAUUGUUUUUUGUCUCAAACAAACAGAAGAUUAUACCACUCCCGUGCGUUUAUUGGUAAGUACAAGUGUUAUUACCAAAAGUCACAUAAUACUCUAAAAAUUAGCUGGAUAAAUGUUUUGCUUUAUCCUGGUAAACAAGAACUCAUGAAACAUAUAUUUCAACAGAUGAUGCAUCUAAUAAAGACUGACUUUAAUUAGAUAUUAAAUGUUGAUCUUUCUGUAUCACUACUGCAUAUCCUAUAAUAUAUAUAUAUAUAUAUGUACAUAUAUAUAUAUAUAUAUAUAUAUAUAUAUAUAUACAUAUAUAUAUGGGAUACAUUUUUUCCUGGUGGACAACUGUGUUAACAAUAUUACCACACAACUACAUUUGUUUAUUCAAAACAUUUGAACUUGCUGGGAAAGUGUGACUUGAUUUUCAUAAUAAUGAUGAGGGAAAAUCUUUUGGGAAAAUGAGUGAAUGAAGUGAGCUGUGAGGUUGUUUGUUGUAAAGAGUAUUAAAUAUCUGUUUUUCUCCCUCAUUCCCUCCUCCUGCAUUGUGUUUUCCUCUGACCUUUGCCAAACCCACCUUUGAACUCUAAAGCGUAAUUUCACAGUUAUAUCCACUUAAGUUAUCACUGUAAUGUCAUAUUAUUUAUCUGCAGUCUGUAAUGACAAUUUACUGUUUGGAUUUCAUCUUAAUUAUAGACAUAAGAGAGUAAAUAGUGAAAAGGCUUUUUCAUUGUGUAUGACAUGUUUUCUACAUUUUAAGCUUCAUGUUUUUCAGGCCAAGGUUGCUUCACUAUAAUCUUUCCAAUAAUUAUGUGGUAUAAUACAUGAACUUGGAUAAGAAAUGACAAAACUAAUGAUUGUCAAUGAAAAAUGGUUGUGCCUCCAAUUAAGUAUGACAUAAUGAUUGUUUGGCAACUACAUUUACAUUUACAUUUUCUUUCUCAAUAAUUUCACUGCUUCUGAAAUUGGCUAUUCUAUCUCUUUAAUGCAGACCAUUGCGGCCAACUCAGCUGAAAGUUCACUAACACAAAUACAUGUUAAUGUGUGAAUACUGUUACUGUUUACAACACAUUAUGUAAAACCCUACAUCAUGUCAUAAUUUCACGAACUGCUGCAUCUUUUUACUGAAUUGUAACGUUAACCAUUUAAAACUUUGCUUUAUCUUAAGUUAAGCUGAAACAAAUGUUAAUACUUUUGCUGCUUGUUAACAAUUGAACGUAUAUUAUAGUGUAAUGUUUCCUUUUUUGACAAUUAAACUCUAAAUGUUUCAUCUCUAUUUUUCCAUUUCCCCCCUUAGUGACUCCACCUUGUGUUUAACUGCAGACCGCUUGCCAGUCAGUGUAAGUUUAUACAUGAAUGACAUUUUUAUGAAUAUGACUGUGUGCCUUUAUUGUACACAUUUUACACACACCUCUCUUUCUGUACUUUCUACACAAUUGAGGUUACUUUCAUACACAUAAUAUUUGAUCACAUGCUUAUGAACAUUAUUAUUAAGGCAAUUAACAUUGAAUUAUAUCACCAUUCAAGAUAAGUGGGUGAUGCAUCUUUUCGUAAAAUACACUGAGGUCGUACAUACAUUUCUUCAUCUAUUUAGUAACAUUUUAGAUGUUCAGUCCUGAUACAUUUUUGAAAAGAUGAUCAAAUAACAUAAUGCUCAGUUUCAGCAUUUGACUCAACUAGACUUUGAAUAGAUGUGUAGUCAAAAUUGCCAUAUGUUACUUUGAACGAAAGCACAUUAUAAUGACAUUAGUUUUGGGUGAAUGUCGGUUGAUUUAAAUGUAUUUAUUAUAUUUCAUACAAAUAAUUAAUAUUUAUUUCCAUUUUUCUUACAGAUAUCCUGUACUGUCCCUCCACUCUCUCCUAUCAUUUUGGACAUUCUGCCUUUCUAUCUCUCCUCUAUCCAACUCUGACUAUUUGAACAGCUAUUGCCAGCCUUUACAACCUAUUUUGAAAGCCUUUACCACAGCCUUUGACAGCCUUUAAAAACCGUUGUGAAAGCCUUUAAGAAAGGCUUUAACUGCCUUUGACAGCCUUUCUACCACUUUUAGAGCCUUAAAAACGGGCAUUCAGACACUUUGAGAACACUUUUUGGAAACAAGCUUAUUUUUUUCAACUGAUCGCGUGUAAAAGCAAUACUUUUGAAACAGCAAAAUCUUUGAAACAGCUUACUUUUAAAACAACUACUGUUCUGAAAAAGCACUAAUUUUGCACAAGUGUUAUUGUUCUUGUAGUUCUUCCUUUCCUGUCUGUUGCUCUACAGUUUCACCUGAAGAAGUUUCAUCACCAUCACCGCUCCUGCCUCAUUCAUUUUGAGUUCGAAAAAUACACCUUUAUUAUUUUUGACUUGAAUUUUAUUUUAACAAAAAAGUCCUGACAUCUAAACAUUUGUUAUUGAUUUGUGUUUCUGUUAAAUAAAGUAGUUUCUGAAAACAAUAAAGCAUUUCUGUCCA
RNAcentral lists this long non-coding RNA (3957 nucleotides) under Xyrichtys novacula (pearly razorfish). Lineage: Eukaryota; Metazoa; Chordata; Actinopteri; Labriformes; Labridae. The record is from RNAcentral.